Long non-coding RNA from Sceloporus undulatus (fence lizard), 1011 nucleotides. RefSeq lists it as uncharacterized. The record is from RefSeq and is a predicted model, not a curated record. NCBI's taxonomy places the organism in Eukaryota, Metazoa, Chordata, Lepidosauria, Squamata, Phrynosomatidae. The transcript has 3 exons.
GAAGAACGGAGCUGCUGUGGACCUUUUGGCUUGCAUUUGAAGACCAUCCCAACCUUUUCUCGCCCUCUAAACUAGCCUGUUGCCCAUGAGUGUGAUGAGGGUACUAUUCAGCCUAUUCAGAAUCUAUACAUGGAAUAGAAGGUGUGGAAAGAAGAAUUAAAAGGCAGAAAAGAAAGAAGAUCCUCUGCCAUCACUGUAAACCUCUUUCUCCUGCGGUUUGGACAGACAAUUAUUUCUGCUGGGAAGAAAGUCAAGAAUGUCAGACAACAGAACUGAAAAGAUCAUUUUCAAUUUACCAGUGGGGAAAAGGAUGGCAGAUUGCAGGUGUGUGUCUUAGGUGCCUUCAAAUCACCAAUCGACUUAUGAUGACCCCAUGAAUAUUAUGGAGUUUUCUUAGCCGAGGAAUACUCAGAGGUGUUUUGCCUAUUCUUUCCUCUGGAAUAUAGCCUACAGCACCUGGCAUUCAUUGGCAGUGCCUCAUCCAGGACUGACUCUGCUUAGAUUCCAAGAUCAGAUGGGAUCUGCUGUCUUCAGGAAAUUUAGGCUGGCAGAUUAUAUACUCUCCAACAUUUAACAGAUGAAAAUCAGGUCACAUCUGACCAAGAAACAUCAGAGAGUGGCCAAGAUUGUGGAAAUCAUCAGUGCGGAAGAACAUGCAUGCCAGGAGAGGCUGCAGCAGUUUGCUUUUGCCUGAGCCUUCUAGGAAAGAGUAUGAUUCUGCACACUCCUCUCCACUACCCUUUGCUGAGUUUACUGAGAACAAACUAUCUCUGCAUUUUGAAGAAACAUUUGCAGCAAUUGAAAUAAGCUGAGAAUGAAUGGGGAAAGUUAUAGGAGGAGAGAUAAAUUGGGUUAUUUUAAAAGCAGCUGAAAAAUUAAGACCACAGAGGAUUAAUCUGGACUGUCCCUGCCAGAUCAGGACAAUUGGAAGGGAUGAAACUGGAGACAUUAUUUUUAGCCCACUAACAUCCCCACUGAGUCCUUGUCAUAAAGUUAGCAAGAAAUAAAAAU